Molecule: long non-coding RNA, 695 nt
Filed under: Calidris pugnax (ruff)
Lineage: Eukaryota; Metazoa; Chordata; Aves; Charadriiformes; Scolopacidae
Description: lncRNA (ENSCPUG00000000386.1)
Source: RNAcentral
GUUUGCAUCGCACGAGGGGGCUGGUGUUGCACGAGGGGUUUGCAUCGCACGAGGGGGCUGGUGUUGCACGAGGGGUUUGCAUCGCACGAGGGGGCUGGUGUUGCACGAGGGGCUUGUGUCGCACAAGAACUCAGUGGGGCAGGAACCCCAUCACGUCGUGUGUGGGGCUCCGCGUGUGGGGCACGAGGUCUCUCCUCUCACGAGGGCUCCUUGUGUCGCACGAGGGCUCUUGGUGUUGCACGAGGGCUCCUUGUGUUGCACGAGGGCUCACGAGGACCCCCCUGCCCCACAUCCUGCCCCACAUCCUGCCCCCCAGCUCUCCAUCCGCUGCGGGAACCAUCGCUUCAAGAUCUUCGCCGAGGGGCAGCCCCUCUGUCACUUCGCCCAUCGCCUGCCCCCCGGGCCCCACGCCGACACCCUGGAGGUGGAGGGCGACGUCGUCCUCUCCUACGUCCACUUCUGAGCCCCAUAGAUCGCCCCAUAGAUCGCCCCACAUCCUGCCCCACAUCCUGCCCCAUAGCGUGUCCCAUGGGCUGACCCAUCCACACGCUGGAGGUGGAGGAUGAGUUUGUCUUCUCCUACGUCCACUUCUGAGCCCCAUAGAUCGCCCCAUAGAUCGCCCCAUAGUGCCCCACAACCUGCCCCAUAGUGCCCCACAUCCUGCCCGACAUCCCGCCCCAUAGAUCACCCCACAU